Molecule: small nucleolar RNA, 138 nt
Filed under: Ornithorhynchus anatinus (platypus)
Lineage: Eukaryota; Metazoa; Chordata; Mammalia; Monotremata; Ornithorhynchidae
Source: RNAcentral
CUCCUCUCAGGAUGGCACUUGGAGAAUUUCCAGUACUCUACCAGUCUCGGCUAUGGAAGGGAGAGUCAAGCAGAGGCAUACCCAUUCCAUUCCUAGCUUGGGCCGUGGCUAGCGAGUGGAAGGUAAUCCGCUACAAGU